GGGGAAUAUUGCGCAAUGGGCGCAAGUCUGACCCAGCAACGCCGCGUGAAUGAAGAAGUAUUUCGGUUGUAAACUUCUUUUGUCAGGGACGAAACAAGUGACGGUACCUGAGAAUAAGCUCCGGCUAACUAC
Molecule: ribosomal RNA, 132 nt
Filed under: uncultured bacterium
Lineage: Bacteria
Description: partial 16S ribosomal RNA
Rfam family: Bacterial small subunit ribosomal RNA
Source: RNAcentral